CCAUGCCGAACACAGAAGUUAAGCUUCUUAGCGCCGAUUGUAGUGAGGGGUUGCCCCUUGUGAGAGUAGGACGUCGCCA
RNAcentral lists this ribosomal RNA (79 nucleotides) under Enterococcus faecium. The record is from RNAcentral. Lineage: Bacteria; Bacillati; Bacillota; Bacilli; Lactobacillales; Enterococcaceae.